Molecule: transfer RNA, 85 nt
Filed under: Canis lupus familiaris (dog)
Lineage: Eukaryota; Metazoa; Chordata; Mammalia; Carnivora; Canidae
Also listed under: 1 other name
Rfam family: tRNA
About the family: Transfer RNA (tRNA) molecules are approximately 80 nucleotides in length. Their secondary structure includes four short double-helical elements and three loops (D, anti-codon, and T loops).
Source: Rfam by way of RNAcentral
GCCUGAGUGGCUCAGUGGUUGAGCAUCUGCCUUUGGCUCAGGUGUCGUGAUUCUAGGGUCCUAGGAUCGAGUCCUGCAUCAGGCU